CGGGCGCCAGGGGCUGGCACUGCAGCGGGCACCGGCGCCGCCGCACCACCCAGGGCAGGAGGCAGCUGGCGCAGAAGACGUGUCCGCACGAGAGCUGAGGCCCGCUUACAAUGGCCCUUGGGAAAGCUGUGCUUCCUUUGCCUGAACGGCGAACUUCAAGCAGUCCUCAGGCAGAGCUGAUAAUGAGCACAGCGCAGAUGCUGAGGAACAACUUCUAAUUCCACCAGAAUGUAAACUCUCGGAGAGCCGGAUUUUUGUCCAUCGGUGUUCCGCUGGAUUCUCAUCGCCCCGCAUCCAGUGGAUCUUCAGUAAUGUGUUUGAAAUACAUGCACUUCCGUUCUUUCAUAUCAGCCAACUACAAAAUCACCAGCUAAGUAGCCGAGACCUUAGGAAAGCACUCUCAAGUGCCUACAGGAGCCAGGCUUCUCAAAUCAGGAUCCAGAAAUAAGAGAGAAGAAUGUACCACUGAAAGCAACUUUGAACGUGAGCUAAGUAAGUUUUCUUCCUUCUGGAAUUUUCUAUCUGGAUUAUAGAAAUCCCCAAGAGCAACCUCUCAUCUAUGUUGCAAAUCUUGCUCACCAAUUUUGUAGUAUCAUUUGCCUUUAUUCGAUAUGUGUAUUUUUUAAA
This is a long non-coding RNA of Hyaena hyaena (striped hyena), 627 nucleotides long. RefSeq lists it as uncharacterized. The transcript is spliced from 3 exons. NCBI's taxonomy places the organism in Eukaryota, Metazoa, Chordata, Mammalia, Carnivora, Hyaenidae. The record is from RefSeq and is a predicted model, not a curated record.